GGAGUGGGUGUGCUUUCCAAGCCGUGCACCUUCAUCAAUCUUAACAGCUAAGACUGUACUUUGGGAAUCCCAAACCCUGGAGACGAGAGAUGGAAAAAGGAAGACUCCUUUGCUCAGAGACUGUCUACACAAAUUCAAGGCAUACACAUCCAGGAACCCCAAGGGAGUGCACCCAUGAGUGCUGAGGGAGCUGGCAGAAGAGAUUGCCAAGUCAUUCUCUAACAUCUGUGAAAGCUCAUGGAGAAAAGGGGAAGUGCUUGAGGACUAGAGGAAAGCCAGUGUCACUCCAGUCCUCACAAAGGGCAAGAAGGAGGACCUGGAAAACUACAGGCCUGCCAGCCUCUCCUCUGUCUCUGUGAGAGACAUGAAGAGGGUGAAGAGUUGUUUGUUUGCCA
Molecule: long non-coding RNA, 395 nt
Organism: Gallus gallus (chicken)
Lineage: Eukaryota; Metazoa; Chordata; Aves; Galliformes; Phasianidae
Source: Ensembl